Cyanistes caeruleus (blue tit) is the source of this 164-nucleotide long non-coding RNA. RefSeq lists it as uncharacterized. The record is from RefSeq and is a predicted model, not a curated record. NCBI's taxonomy places the organism in Eukaryota, Metazoa, Chordata, Aves, Passeriformes, Paridae.
CCAAGAGUCACACCCUGUGCCUUUGUCCAAACACUGCUUGAACUCUGUCAGGCUGAUGCUAUGACCACUUCCCUGGUUGCCACAGUCCCUGAAACUCAUUAUCCUUCACUACUGGUGAAAGAAAGAAACAACCUAAGAGCGAAAUAUAUACUGGAUUUCAAGGA